AUUGAACGCUGGCGGCAGGCCUAACGCAUGCAAGUCGAGCGGAUGAAGGGAGCUUGCUCCUGGAUUCAGCGGCGGACGGGUGAGUAAUGCCUAGGAAUCUGCCUGGUAGUGGGGGAUAACGUCCGGAAACGGGCGCUAAUACCGCAUACGUCCUGAGGGAGAAAGUGGGGGAUCUUCGGACCUCACGCUAUCAGAUGAGCCUAGGUCGGAUUAGCUAGUUGGUGGGGUAAAGGCCUACCAAGGCGACGAUCCGUAACUGGUCUGAGAGGAUGAUCAGUCACACUGGAACUGAGACACGGUCCAGACUCCUACGGGAGGCAGCAGUGGGGAAUAUUGGACAAUGGGCGAAAGCCUGAUCCAGCCAUGCCGCGUGUGUGAAGAAGGUCUUCGGACUGUAAAGCACUUUAAGUUGGGAGGAAGGGCAGUAAGUUAAUACCUUGCUGUUUUGACGUUACCAACAGAAUAAGCACCGGCUAACUUCGUG
Molecule: ribosomal RNA, 484 nt
Filed under: uncultured bacterium
Lineage: Bacteria
Description: partial 16S ribosomal RNA
Rfam family: Bacterial small subunit ribosomal RNA
Source: RNAcentral